This is a non-coding RNA of Cricetulus griseus (Chinese hamster), 2102 nucleotides long. Lineage: Eukaryota; Metazoa; Chordata; Mammalia; Rodentia; Cricetidae. The record is from RefSeq and is a predicted model, not a curated record.
CACUCACGAAGGGAGGUUAUUAAAAAGAGCAGAGAAACAUGCUUUCCCUCCCUCACUGCGUCAGCCAGGCUGUGAACCCCUGCUUCAAAAUGGUGCUCUGCGUGGUAUGGACACGAGAGGGCGCUGCAGACUCGGCUGGGGCGUUCAAGCCCCAUGUCCCGCCUCUUUCUGUGCGGCCGCCAGCCUCUUGGCCACUCUAAGGCCACUAGACGUCGCCAUUCUGGACAGCCAUCGUGGACGGAGACCGGGGCAGUGCCGGCCUAGCAUCGCAGUGCUCAGCUCGCAGGUGACUUGCCUGCACAAGGGAUCAGAAUAGUUGGGCUCCACGCUCGAGGUUCACUCCUUUGAGUCAGGGCAGCGCACUUGUCCAAGAAGUCACCCGUCGCGUCCUUCGUGUAUGCACCCACUGGGGGCCAUCUUGAAUCCCAGCCGUCUUUUAUAAAUCCGAAGGGAUGCAGGGUGCCACCUGCAUCCCUUGAAGUCGAGCCCACUCUAUCCGUGGUCCCUGGCACCCAACACCACCACUGGGCGUCGCUUUGGAGAUGAGGAGGAGCACCGCGCCCCCCUUCGCCAAGUCCUCCCCCGACCCGGGCUAAUGACCGGGCGGGAGGCUGUAAUGAGCGUCUGGGUUGGGGACGGGCGGGGCGUGGCCCGGGAUGAAAGGCGCGUGUGUGGGGGGCACCCCGGGGCCACGUAAUUACCGCCCCCUUCUUAGCCGGGCGGGGGCCAGGGCCACUGCACCUGGCCUCUGCCCGGCGGGGGUGCACAAGUGUGACUGUGAUGGCAAAGCCUGGUGCCGCCCUCAGGGACCAGAGGCAGGGUGGAGGAUGCACCCUGUCUGUGUGUGUGUGUGUUGCCAGGUGUGGCACACAUGUGUGCAUGUGGGCAGGAGACCCGUGAGGAUUUGGAGAGACAUCUGACUCCCAUGGACAGGGGAAGUGGGUUUGUCCCAUGUGUGUGAAGAGGACGUGGCCAUAUUUGCACGGCUGACUUUCCUUCCCCUAAGGACAAGGUGGGUGGACAGGGUGCCGAAAUGCCGACAAAAGUGAGCACAACAGGGAUGUAGAUGCUCAGGGCAGGGCGAGGUGUGCGUGACUGGGGUGGGUGCUAAUGCAGCCAUCUAUGCCUGGUAGCAUGACUCAUGCUCCAGGGGUGGGCAUGAGAGCUGUGUCAGAGACACCCGGGCCUCCCAAUUAGAGAAGCUAAAACCCAGAGCCAGCUGUAAGAGUUAAGCUUGCCUUUUUUUUUUCUUUCUUUCUUUUUUUUUUUUUUUCUUGGGUGGGCUCUGAUCCCUCAGGUGUCUGAGGUCUGGCCUCCUGCCACCCAGAGGAACUGGACUCUGUGUCUGGAAAGGGUCUGCGGCCAGGGCUGGCUAGGCCCAAGUUCCUGUGACUCAUCCCUCCCCGCAACCCUGAGUCAUACUCCAGGAAUGGGAAUACGAAAGCUUGGGAGGCCGGGCCCCUGAGGCUCUUGCCCAGACCUGGGCCUUGAACAGCAAAGGGACGCCCCAGCCAGCACACACAUCCUAUGACAAGCCAUGCUAUACACGUGCACACCCACAUCCUCUAUUGCAGACCUGUCAGGCUCAGUCACAAACUCGACAUGCCUUUGUCAUCUGGCAAAUUGCCUGCACCCUGGAGAGACCCUGUGGGCUUCCCAUAGCUUCCUGCCUGUCUUCAAUAAACUACUGGGACUGGGAAGCAGUGCCCUUGCACUAAAGGGGUAUUUGCAGCAGGAACAUGCAGUGACACGCAAUCAUCCACAAGGUCUCUAUCAGAUGCCCAAAAAACACCAGUGGCCCUGCAGUGACGCCCAGGAAACCCCAGAAGCUGGGUGGCUCAUCUGUCUGGGAAAUGAUCUAUUUGGGUUUCUAAAACUGCAGGAGGGAUGGGAGGAGUUGUAGGGCAUCAACCCCCAGGGAUGCUCAGAUGCUGUUUAGCAAGGGCCUCUUCCGCCCCUAUCACUCCAGGGACUUCUGCCCAGUCCACUCACCUGACUGUGGCACAGCCUCCCAUGCAGGUUAACACACAAACAGCCUCCCCGGAAACAAACAGAGACGGGCAGAGCAACUUCUGCCUGGAGCUGGUGGCCUGCAGUGCUUC